RNAcentral lists this long non-coding RNA (915 nucleotides) under Vulpes vulpes (red fox). Its description in RNAcentral is "lncRNA (ENSVVUG00000008687.1)". The record is from RNAcentral. Lineage: Eukaryota; Metazoa; Chordata; Mammalia; Carnivora; Canidae.
GCUAUGGCCCCCUCGGUGGCCUGGGAGCAGGUGAGAGAUGGGCAAAUGGGAUCUUGGGGUUAGGAGAAGGAGCCACCUCAACAAUAUGUGGGGACGCUGCUGACUCCGCCCCACCCCCCUCAGAGCAGCAAACUGGUGCCCCUUCCGCGUCUCCUUUCCCUGCGUCUCCUUUCCCUCGUGCGCACACUGCCCUCCACCUAGGACACCAAGACUGUUCUGGCGCCAUCUCACCCGUGUGCCGCACCCAGGGCACCCCCAACCCCUCCCUGUCCCUGCUUGUUCUCUGUGCCAUCCCAUGGGGCCCCUGCGGGGGUGGGGGCGUGAGUCUGCUGCUGCGCGCCCUCUGGGCCGGCUGGGAGUGGGCUCCAGGGCCCCUGCCCCGCACCAGCGGGGCCCUCCACCCUCUGGGGUGGACUUACCGGAGCCAGAAUGGCUGUGGGGGAGGUGUCCUGGGAGACCCCGCAGGAGGGAAUCCUGGGACCCUCACCUACUCCCUGGGUCCCCCCGGCUGCAGAGGGGCUAUUAAACCUCAGAAGCCAGGUGGGCCCGCCCCAGCUCUGCUCUGGCUCCCCACCUUUCUCUCACACCCCUUAUCUCCAUCUGUCCCCCCAGGAUUUGGGAACGGGAAUGGACUGGGAACCCAGCCAGGCAUCGGAGCGGGUGUGAGAACCCAGAAGCCAGGUGAGCCUCCCGCCCUGUCACCCCCCAUCUCUGCUCUGCUGCCCUCCCGCAUUAUUCCCUUAUUCCAGCCUGACAGCUUCCCGCCCUGUCUCCCCAGGGUUUGGGAACGGAAAUGGGCUGGCAGCCGGGGCCUUCCCGGGUGCUGUCACCCAGCCAGGUGAGACAGGGGAAGGGGGGGCUGCUGAGGAGGCUGGGUCAGCAUUGGGAGGUCUCCCAGGCUCCCCCAGGGCAGAC